ACCUAAACGUUGCUUCGGCGGGAAUAGACGGCCCUGUAAAACGGGCCGCCCCCGCCAGAGGACUCUUAACUCUGUUUCUUAUAAUGUUUCUUCUGAGUAAAACAAGCAAAUAAAUUAAAACUUUCAACAACGGAUCUCUUGGCUCUGGCAUCGAUGAAGAACGCAGCGAAAUGCGAUAAGUAAUGUGAAUUGCAGAAUUCAGUGAAUCAUCGAAUCUUUGAACGCACAUUGCGCCCGCCAGUAUUCUGGCGGGCAUGCCUGUUCGAGCGUCAUUACAACCCUCAGGCCCCCGGGCCUGGCGUUGGGGAAUCGGCGGAGCGCCCCUCGUGGGCGCACGCCGUCCCCCAAAUACAGUGGCGGUCCCGCCGCAGCUUCCAUCGCGUAGUAGCUAACACCUCGCGACUGGAGAGCGGCGCGGCCACGCCGUAAAACACCCCAACUCUUCUGAAGUUGACCUCGAAUCAGGUAGGAAUACCCGCUGAACUUAAGCAUAUC
RNAcentral lists this unclassified non-coding RNA (495 nucleotides) under Fusarium solani. RNAcentral describes it as "sequence contains ITS1, 5.8S rRNA gene, ITS2". The stretch from base 119 to 272 matches the Rfam family "5.8S ribosomal RNA". The record is from RNAcentral. Lineage: Eukaryota; Fungi; Ascomycota; Sordariomycetes; Hypocreales; Nectriaceae.